UGCACUUUUUGUAGGAACGAUGGCCUGUUAUGGACAACGAUGAAAAGCGAUUCGAUGGUUUCCGCCGAUCGGACCACCGCGCACGACCAUGAACGAAUACUCCGUAAGUACCUACCUAACACAGACAAAUUUCUUGGAAUUCAUCUAUUCGUUAGGUUAGCUAUGUAAAAAAAAAAAAAAAAUAUAUCGCGUCUAGUAGAUUUCUGAUUACGGAGUAGUGCAACGAGAGAGACGGACUACGUGACUGUUUUAUGGGAUUACACAGUUAAAUUUACAAACGACGUGGUUCUUGUGCGUGAACGAUUUCCAUCGAAAACGUGCGCAU
This is a non-coding RNA of Cinara cedri, 325 nucleotides long. The record is from the annotation of a GenBank genome assembly. NCBI's taxonomy places the organism in Eukaryota, Metazoa, Arthropoda, Insecta, Hemiptera, Aphididae.